RNAcentral lists this ribosomal RNA (253 nucleotides) under uncultured bacterium. RNAcentral's name for it is "partial 16S ribosomal RNA". It matches the Rfam family "Bacterial small subunit ribosomal RNA", at positions 524 to 776 of the family's 1533-position model. The record is from RNAcentral.
UACAGAGGUGGCAAGCGUUGUUCGGAAUUACUGGGCGUAAAGGGCGCGUAGGCGGUCCCGUCAGUCCCUUGUGAAAUCCCCCGGCUCAACUGGGGAACUGCAAGGGAUACAGCGGGGCUUGAGUUCGGGAGAGGGAAGCGGAAUUCCGGGUGUAGCGGUGAAAUGCGUAGAUAUCGGGAAGAACACCUAUGGCGAAGGCAGCUCUCUGGGACGGUACUGACGCUGAGACGCGAAAGCGUGGGGAGCGAACAGG